CAGUAGCCGCGGUAAUACAGAGGGUGCGAGCGUUAAUCGGAUUUACUGGGCGUAAAGCGUGCGUAGGCGGCUUCUUAAGUCGGAUGUGAAAUCCCUGAGCUUAACUUAGGAAUUGCAUUCGAUACUGGGAAGCUAGAGUAUGGGAGAGGAUGGUAGAACUCCAGGUGUAGCGGUGAAAUGCGUAGAGAUCUGGAGGAAUACCGAUGGCGAAGGCAGCCAUCUGGCCUAAUACUGACGCUGAGGUACGAAAGCAUGGGGAGCAAACAGGAUUAGAUACCCCGGUAGUCCCUGUCUCUUAUAC
This 301-nucleotide ribosomal RNA is filed under the name uncultured bacterium. Its description in RNAcentral is "partial 16S ribosomal RNA". It matches the Rfam family "Bacterial small subunit ribosomal RNA", at positions 509 to 807 of the family's 1533-position model. The record is from RNAcentral.